Molecule: long non-coding RNA, 243 nt
Filed under: Cavia porcellus (domestic guinea pig)
Lineage: Eukaryota; Metazoa; Chordata; Mammalia; Rodentia; Caviidae
Description: lncRNA (ENSCPOG00000039031.1)
Source: RNAcentral
AAGAAGAAACACAUUUUUGCCUGUCUCUUUCGCUUUCUGCACUGUAGGCUCCCGUUGGACAGAUGCCUGUUUUUAUUUGGGCCAGAAGUUCCACAACUUAGUGCUGGUCCUGGUCCACUGAGGACAGAAAGGAUUGCAGAGACGCAUUUGAUCUUGGAUAGAAGGACGGCUUCCUGAAACAAGACCGUACCACCAGGUGAAAAAAAUCAACUUUGAAAAGAGAGAAACAAAGAGCAAUCUAAG